UACGGGGGGGGUAAGCGUUGUUCGGAAUUACUGGGCGUAAAGGGCUCGUAGGCGGCCAACUAAGUCGGACGUGAAAUCCCUCAGCUUAACUGGGGAACUGCGUCCGAUACUGGAUGGCUUGGAUUUGGGAGAGGGAUGCGGAAUUCCAGGUGUAGCGGUGAAAUGCGUAGAUAUCUGGAGGAACACCGGUGGCGAAGGCGGUUCUCUGGGCAUUACCUGACGCUGAGGAGCGAAAGUGUGGGGAGCGAACAGG
Molecule: ribosomal RNA, 253 nt
Filed under: uncultured bacterium
Lineage: Bacteria
Description: partial 16S ribosomal RNA
Rfam family: Bacterial small subunit ribosomal RNA
Source: RNAcentral